This 491-nucleotide ribosomal RNA is filed under the name uncultured bacterium. Its description in RNAcentral is "partial 16S ribosomal RNA". It matches the Rfam family "Bacterial small subunit ribosomal RNA", at positions 29 to 506 of the family's 1533-position model. The record is from RNAcentral.
AGUGAACGCUGGCGGUAGGCCUAACACAUGCAAGUCGAACGGCAGCACAGUAAGAGCUUGCUCUUACGGGUGGCGAGUGGCGGACGGGUGAGGAAUACAUCGGAAUCUACUUUUUCGUGGGGGAUAACGUAGGGAAACUUACGCUAAUACCGCAUACGACCUACGGGUGAAAGCAGGGGAUCUUCGGACCUUGCGCGAUUGAAUGAGCCGAUGUCGGAUUAGCUAGUUGGCGGGGUAAAGGCCCACCAAGGCGACGAUCCGUAGCUGGUCUGAGAGGAUGAUCAGCCACACUGGAACUGAGACACGGUCCAGACUCCUACGGGAGGCAGCAGUGGGGAAUAUUGGACACUGGGCGCAAGCCUGAUCCAGCCAUACCGCGUGGGUGAAGAAGGCCUUCGGGUUGUAAAGCCCUUUUGUUGGGAAAGAAAAGCAGCAGGUUAAUACCCCGCUGUUCUGACGGUACCCAAAGAAUAAGCACCGGCAAACUUCGU